CUUUGUCUGAGAUCACCAGGAUUGUGGAUACUCUUCAGAAGAACUUAUACUAUAAAAAUUACCCCAAGAAUCCUUAGAAAUGGGACAUCUGAACGAAUAAUCAAGAACAUUGAAGCAGACACAAGAG
Long non-coding RNA from Myotis myotis, 127 nucleotides. RefSeq lists it as uncharacterized. The transcript has 3 exons. The record is from RefSeq and is a predicted model, not a curated record. Lineage: Eukaryota; Metazoa; Chordata; Mammalia; Chiroptera; Vespertilionidae.